ACCUUCGGGCCUCUUGCCAUCAGAUGUGCCCAGAUGGGAUUAGCUUGUUGGUGAGGUAACGGCUCACCAAGGCGACGAUCCCUAGCUGGUCUGAGAGGAUGACCAGCCACACUGGAACUGAGACACGGUCCAGACUCCUACGGGAGGCAGCAGUGGGGAAUAUUGCACAAUGGGCGCAAGCCUGAUGCAGCCAUGCCGCGUGUAUGAAGAAGGCCUUCGGGUUGUAAAGUACUUUCAGCGGGGAGGAAGGUGUUGUGGUUAAUAACCGCAGCAAUUGACGUUACCCGCAGAAGAAGCACCGGCUAACUCCGUGCCAGCAGCCGCGGUAAUACGGAGGGUGCAAGCGUUAAUCGGAAUUACUGGGCGUAAAGCGCACGCAGGCGGUCUGUCAAGUCGGAUGUG
This 402-nucleotide ribosomal RNA is filed under the name Salmonella enterica subsp. enterica serovar Muenster. Its description in RNAcentral is "bacterial SSU rRNA". It matches the Rfam family "Bacterial small subunit ribosomal RNA", at positions 199 to 596 of the family's 1533-position model. The record is from RNAcentral. Lineage: Bacteria; Pseudomonadati; Pseudomonadota; Gammaproteobacteria; Enterobacterales; Enterobacteriaceae.